UACGUAGGGUGCGAGCGUUAAUCGGAAUUACUGGGCGUAAAGCGUGCGCAGGCGGUUUUGUAAGCCAGAUGUGAAAUCCCCGGGCUUAACCUGGGAAUGGCAUUUGGGACUGCAAGGCUAGAGUGUGGCAGAGGAGACUGGAAUUCCUGGUGUAGCAGUGAAAUGCGUAGAUAUCAGGAGGAAUACCGAUGGCGAAGGCGGGUCUCUGGGCUAACACUGACGCUCAUGCACGAAAGCGUGGGGAGCAAACAGG
RNAcentral lists this ribosomal RNA (253 nucleotides) under uncultured bacterium. RNAcentral describes it as "partial 16S ribosomal RNA". It matches the Rfam family "Bacterial small subunit ribosomal RNA", at positions 524 to 776 of the family's 1533-position model. The record is from RNAcentral.